GGCAACCCGCCGCGGGCGGGGCUGUAGCGGCGAGGGAGGGGCCGAAUGGCCGUGUGGGCAUCCUGGUGCGGGGAUAGGAGAGAGCGAGGGGGUGAACCACCUACGAUCUUUAACUGAUCAGCAACUGUUGUGAGGUCCUUUUGCUCCUUGCUGAUCAAGGGUUUGCAACUGGUUGCUGGACUUUCCCAUUGGCAGACCUCCAUCCCCCUCCAUCGAGAGCAUCUACACUAGGCGCUGCCUCAAGAAGACGGUAUAUAUCAUCAAGAAUCCUCACCAUAAGGGCCGUGCCCUCUUCUCACUGCUACCGUCAGGCAGGAUGUACAGGAGCCAGAAGUCCCACACCACCAGAUUCAGAAACAGCUAUUUUCCUGCAACCAUCAGGUUAUUGAACCAACCCACACAACCCUAAACCUACGUUGGCACAGAACACUACUGGUGUAAAUGGGAUAUGUUGGACAGUGUGGCCAAGUUGGGCCGAAUGGCCUGUUUCCAUGACCUAUGACUAUAUAUGGACCACCUCUUGGACGUGGAGUUGGCUUUUUUUCAUAAUUAUAUUUUUGAACAAAUUACUCUUUUUUUUCUGCUCCAGUACCUGUGUAAAUGUAAUUGGGUCAGUCUCCACAUCCUUCAGGCAUCGAUGUCUGGCCCCCGCGCGUUAAGUUCCUUUUCUUACUCCCUCAUCCGCCUUCCAAUUAAGCCGUCAGAAAUUGUUACCUUCUAUUGAUGGCUCUUUGCCCUAAAAUAUGGACUCUAUUUAUCUCUCCACAAACCCUGCCUGACCUGCCGAGUGUUUCCAACACUUCUCGGUUUUAUCUCAGAUCAUAUUCUAGAAAAUUUGCAUUUGUUGAUCGGAUGGGCCAACAGCUUUGAAUAAACCAACAUAAUUCCAAGUUAUUAUUGAUGCUGGAGUUACCCAGCAUGGGAGUAAGAGCAGCCACACAGUGAGGGGUAAGCAUGGGGAGUGAGUGUGGUGAAAUGGUGCGGGUCUCCGCAGAGUCUGAUCACUUCACAUCUAUUUGUGUUUUUCAAAUCACACAAGUGCUUUCACCCAAUGUGUUUAUUUUUUCUCCUGUGCUGCCUAUUGUGCUCACGUAUGUUAUGAUUCGCUGGGUAGCAUGCAAAAGAAAAGUUUUCACUGUAUCUCAGUACACGUGAUAAUAACAAACCAAUAACAAAUAAACUGAUCACUAAAUAGUAUCCAGAGUCACAGGAGACCCGACCAAACUCUACUCCCUGGGCAGGCUGCUUCUAAACACCAAAUGUUGAGAAAAUUCAACUCCACCACAUAAAGGUUUAUGAUUGUAAACGUGCCACCGAUCUUGGUUCUGGCCACCUUGAUAAGAUUAGUGUACUCUCCAUUGUAUUUCUCUCGAACAAAUCUGAUUUAUUGGCUGCUUUAUUGGAUUAAACCUUUCAACAA
Long non-coding RNA from Leucoraja erinaceus (little skate), 1420 nucleotides. RefSeq lists it as uncharacterized. The record is from RefSeq and is a predicted model, not a curated record. Lineage: Eukaryota; Metazoa; Chordata; Chondrichthyes; Rajiformes; Rajidae. The transcript has 2 exons.